UCUCCGUAGGUGAACCUGCGGAGGGAUCAUUAAGAUGCGCACAGCCUCUGCGCGCGGCGGCCCACCAGCUGCCGCACGCACGCCUUGCAUCCUCGAUAUUACAGCACCUUGCGUUCUCCUUCGGCGGGGCAACCUGCCGCUGGAACUUAACAAAACCUUUUUUUUGCAUCUAGCAUUACCUGUUCUGAUACAAACAAUCGUUACAACUUUCAACAAUGGAUCUCUUGGCUCUGGCAUCGAUGAAGAACGCAGC
This 253-nucleotide unclassified non-coding RNA is filed under the name uncultured fungus. RNAcentral describes it as "sequence contains ITS1, 5.8S rRNA gene". The stretch from base 205 to 253 matches the Rfam family "5.8S ribosomal RNA", at positions 1 to 49 of the family's 154-position model. The record is from RNAcentral. Lineage: Eukaryota; Fungi.